This 257-nucleotide unclassified non-coding RNA is filed under the name uncultured fungus. RNAcentral's name for it is "partial contains 5.8S ribosomal RNA, internal transcribed spacer 2, and large subunit ribosomal RNA". The stretch from base 1 to 52 matches the Rfam family "5.8S ribosomal RNA", at positions 103 to 154 of the family's 154-position model. The record is from RNAcentral. Lineage: Eukaryota; Fungi.
AACGCACAUUGCGCCCGCCAGUAUUCUGGCGGGCAUGCCUGUUCGAGCGUCAUUUCAACCCUCAAGCUCCGCUUGGCGUUGGGGAUCGGCAUCCCGGCCUUCGCGCCGGCGCCGUCCUCCAAAUACAGUGGCGGUCACGCUGCAGCUUCCUUUGCGUAGUAGCACACCUCGCACCGGAGAGCAGCGCGGCCACGCCGUAAAACCCACGACUUCUUGUUUUUGACCUCGAAUAAGGUAGGACUACCCGCUGAACUUAA